This 539-nucleotide ribosomal RNA is filed under the name Parabetaeus hummelincki. RNAcentral describes it as "partial large subunit ribosomal RNA". It matches the Rfam family "Bacterial large subunit ribosomal RNA", at positions 1816 to 2625 of the family's 2925-position model. The record is from RNAcentral. Lineage: Eukaryota; Metazoa; Arthropoda; Malacostraca; Decapoda; Alpheidae.
CUCUUUACGAAAGAUGUAAAGUAUGGCCUGCCCACUGACGUUUAAGUUAAAGGGCCGCGGUACUUUGACCGUGCGAAGGUAGCAUAGUCAAUAGUCUUUUAAUUGGAGGCUUGAAUGAACGGUUUGACAUGAGGGAAACUGUCUCAUUAAAAUUUAAUGAAUUUAACUUUUGUGUGAAAAGGCAUGAAUGUCUUAGGGGGACGAUAAGACCCUAUAAAACUUGAUAUUUAAUAGUUAAUUCUUUGAUUUAGGAGUAAGAAAGGUUUAGUUAUAGGUAUUGUGCUGGGGCGGCAUGGAUAAAAUAUAGUAACUGUCUUUAAGGUUAAAAUAAUUAUAAUUAGAGGUUGACCCUGAAUAUUUAGGUUAUAAGACUAAGUUACUUUAGGGAUAACAGCGUAAUUUCUUUUGAGAGUCCAUAUCGACAAAGACAGUUGCGACCUCGAUGUUGAAUUAAAGUUUUCUGGAGGAGUAGGAGCUUUCGGGAUAGGUCUGUUCGACCUUUAAUAACUUUACAUGAUUUGAGUUCAAACCGGUGUGAG